CACCGCGGUUAUACGAGAGGCCCAAGUCAAUAGCCCCCGGCGUAAAGGGUGGUUAGGAUUUUCCCCAUACUAAAGCCCUACACUCCCAAGGCUGUUAUACGCACCCGGGAAGUGGAUGACCCCCUACGAAAGUGGCUUUAACAACACUGAACCCACGAAAGCUACAGAA
Molecule: ribosomal RNA, 169 nt
Filed under: Trachipterus sp. HUMZ:220860
Lineage: Eukaryota; Metazoa; Chordata; Actinopteri; Lampriformes; Trachipteridae
Description: partial 12S rRNA
Source: RNAcentral